UACGAAGGGGGCUAGCGUUGUUCGGAAUUACUGGGCGUAAAGCGCACGCAGGCGGAUCGAUAAGUCAGGGGUGAAAUCCCGGGGCUCAACCUCGGAAUUGCCUUUGAUACUGAGAAGCUUGAGUUCGGGAGAGGUGAGUGGAACUGCGAGUGUAGAGGUGAAAUUCGUAGAUAUUCGCAAGAACACCAGUGGCGAAGGCGGCUCACUGGCCCGAUACUGACGCUGAGGCACGAAAGCGUGGGGAGCAAACAGG
Molecule: ribosomal RNA, 253 nt
Filed under: uncultured bacterium
Lineage: Bacteria
Description: partial 16S ribosomal RNA
Rfam family: Bacterial small subunit ribosomal RNA
Source: RNAcentral